AGACACACAGUCUUACAGCUGGGUUCGCUCUGUGAGUGACUACUUCCUGUCUCCGGAAAAAAUAACUGCUCACAGGCUUUUAAGCCAAAACGCGCCAUUUGAUAUCCAGCCAUGUGGAAUUUUCUGCUCUUGCUUACUACAUGAUGUCAAGAGUCACUGUGGUGAAGAAAUAACAUCAUGGGGAACCGGUGCUCUGGCGCCAGGAGGGAUAAGGAAAUGAGAAAAGGAUCCUGUAAAAAGGAUAAACGGAAUGACGACUCUGACAAAAAGAAAAGUGGAGACAUUUGUUCAGCUGCACAGUCAUCUCAUUUAAAGGACGUAAAAGAUGAAAUGGAAACAUUGAAGGAAGAGACUUUUUCUUCUGAGACAAAGGACUCUACUGAGAACUUUAUCAGUUUGGCAAAUGAUGCAUCUCAUGAAAUUCACAAUCCAAGCUCAUCCAAGCUUGAAUCAGAUGAAGAGAAAGCAACUUGGGUGGACAGUAACAUGCCUGAGCUUAUUCAGAGUGUAGUUCCAGUGAUGCCCAUAGCUGACCAGAUUCUCAAGUUGAAGAUAAUCCACAAGGAGACGUAUGACCAAAUCGAAGCCUCGCCGGUGAACCAGGAUCGGAUGAGAAAACUCUUCAGGGCUCUUAAUUCUCCAAAGGCAAAAGCAGCUUUCUACGAUAUCCUUGGAAAAAUUCAACCUCAGACUUGUGGAACUGAAGAUAUCAUUAAAAACGUCAUCAAAAAUAACAAAGAAUACUUGAGGAAAAAGUGCGCAUGGGAGUUGGAAGGCACCGAAAAAGAUCACAAAGAAAUAAAAUUAUUGGAUCAGAUUUAUACGGAGGUUCACAUUGUUCAAGGAGAAAAUGAACAUGUCAAUAAGCAACAUGAGAUUUGGGAGAUUGAAGACAAGUUUAGAACUCAAGCAACAGAAGGAAUUAAGAUAAACUGCAACAAUAUCUUUCAAAGCGGACCAGAAAUGAGAGCCAUUAGAACAGUGAUGACCAAGGGAAUUGCUGGAAUCGGUAAAACUGUGUCUGUAAAAAAGUUCAUUCUUGACUGGGCAGAUGGGAAAGCGAAUCCAGACCUGGACUUCAUCUUCAUGAUUCCAUUCAGGGAGCUUAAUUUGGUCAAAGACGAUGAGUUCAGCCUUGAGACUCUUGUUAAAGAAUUCCAUCCUGAACUCAAGAACACAGCAGUCAAUAAAAUAUUUGCUGAUAACAAAGUUUUGUUCAUUUUUGAUGGCCUUGAUGAAAGUCAGCUUAAACUGAACUUCCUAAAAACGAAAAGAUUGACAGAUCCAACAAAGGAAUCAUCCGUAGACAUCCUGGUGACCAAUCUGAUUAGGGAACAUCUUCUGCCCUCUGCACUCGUCUGGAUAACUUCAAGACCAGGAGCCGUUCAGCGCAUCCCCAAAGAAUAUGUCCAUCAGUGGACAGAAAUCAAAGGUUUCAAUGAUCCACAGAAAAUACUGUACUUCAGGAACAGAGUUCAGAACAAAAUGGUUGCUGAACAGAUUAUUGAUCAUAUUACGACAUCACGGAGCUUAUUUAUCAUGUGUCACAUACCCAUCUUCUGUUGGAUUGCCUCAAAGGUUCUUGAGUACUUGCUUUCAAAAAUGGAAAACGGUCGAGAGAAAACCACUAAGAUACCCACAACUCUCAUUGAAAUGUACACACACUUCUUUUGUAUUCAGAUAAAGAUCGCUGCUGAGAAAUACGACAAGGAGAACGAGCUAGAUAUCACUGAAAUCUUCAGAUUGAAUGAAGAUUUCAUCUUCAAGCUGGGCAGGAUGGCAUUUGAAAAACUGAACAAAGGAGAAAUUAUAUUCAGCAGUGAUGAUCUAAAAAGUUAUGACAUCGACACGAAGAAAGCUGGAGUCGACUGUGGGUUGUGUACCACAAUAUUCAAAGAAGAGAGCAUCUUUCACUCAAAGAAGCUUUACUGCUUUGUGCAUUUGACAAUUCAGGAGUACUUUGCUGCUCUCUUUGUGUACAGAAGCUUUGCAAGUAAAACAAUCAAUUCUCAAAGCCUCAAAGAUUUCCUUCUGAUAGGAUCUGAGGAAGAGCUGAAGGAAACCUUGGAUGUUCACCCAGUUGAUCUGCCUUUGGAUGAGCUAAUGGAAAUUGCUAUAGCAAACUCAACUUUGAGAAAGACAGGAGAACUGGACAUGUUUCUUAGGUUCCUCAUUGGCAUGUCCUUAGAGUCGACACAAAAUCAGCUUCAAGGCCUCAUUCAGCAAACAGAGAAACACUCUGAAGUUGUUGAGGAGAUCAGGACAAGCAUAACAGAAAUUGAUCUUUUGGACUGCUCUCCAGACAGAUGUCUGAAUCUGGUUCACUGUUUGGCUGAACUGAAAGAUGAUUCCCUGUAUGACAGUGUGAGAAAGUUUCUGAAUCCAAAUCAGUACCCAGAAACAGAGCUCACCCCUGUUCAGUGUUCAGCUUUGGCUGACUUAAUGCUGAUGUCAACUACGCCGAUAGAGGAAUUUGACUUGACGAAAUACACAACAAAAGAAAAGGGCAGUUUCAGGAUUAUCCCAGCUGUGAGGAACUGCAGAAAAGCCAGAAUAUCAGGUGCAGAUCUUAAUCCCUGGCUUUGUGAAACAAUCUCUUCGGCUCUGUGGAGUCCACGCUCUCCACUAACUGAACUGCAUCUGGUGCAUAACACUUUUUAUGAAAAAGGUACUGGUGUACUGAUUGAUGGACUGACAAACUCUCCAUGUAAACUGGAGGCUCUCAGUCUUUCAGGACACGGACUCUCAACAUCACUGGCAGAAGAGUUGGCCUCGGCUGUAAAAUCAAUAAUCGCCAACAUAAGAGAACUGGAGCUGAGUGAAAAUGUGUUGAGAAACUCACUACUGCCGGUGAUCUCUGAGGCUCUUCAGUGCCAAAAAUUGGAGAAGCUCAGGCUGAACAGAAAUUAUGAGAUUCAACAAAUCUGCAAUAAGAUAGUGAAGGCAUUCACCACCAACUCGACAAAUCUGAGAGAACUAGAACUGAAUUACACCAAUUUUGCCGACUCAGAAGUUGAGAUCUUAUCAACGGCAUUGAUGAGCACAAGCUGUGCUCUGGAGACCCUGAGACUCAGUCACAACAAGUUGACUGAGAAAGGUUGCGAGACCCUGGCUUUGGCUCUCACUUCCAGACCUACACCUUUAAGAGAACUGGACUUGAGCUACAAUGACCUGCAUGAUUCUGGAGUAGAGACAUUCUGUAGAGCACUGACAAGUUCACAUUGUGGUUUAGAGAUAUUAAGGCUAUCAUUCUGUAAAGUAACAGAAGAUGGAUGUUCCUCCUUGGCAAAGGCUCUGAUGUCUGACCACUGCAACCUCAGGGAGUUGGACCUAAGCUUUAAUCACCUGACAAAGCAAGGAGUCAAAACCCUGAUGGAAAAACAGAGAGAUUCAAACUGCAGUCUAGAAAAUCUUAAUGUGGACCAUAAUGAAGAAUGCUGGGUUAACCAUAAACUGCUGCGAAGGUAUGCCUGUGAUCUGACGCUGGAUGAAAACACUGCAGGGAGAACAAUCACUUUGACCCAAGACAAUAAACAAGCACAUUUUCAUCAAGAGAAGCAACAUUAUCCUUACCAUCCAGACAGAUUUGAUUCUUCACAGAUUCUUUGUAAAGAGGGUCUGACAGAACGCCACUACUGGGAAGUUGAGUUUCACCGUUUAUCAGACGGUGAGGUGGGAGUGGCAUACAAAAGUAUCACCCGGAGUGGAGACUCUAGUCCUGAGUAUUCUUUAGGACAGAAUGAGAAAUCUUGGUCCUGGUCCAUAGAUGGAACUUUUUCACACAGUGGUUCCACCGAAUGGUUUUUGACUGAGUUUAAAACGUUGAGCCUUGGAGUGUAUUUGGAUUGGCCAGCAGGUAUUUUGUCCUUCUUUGAAGUGUCUCCAGAUGAAUUGACUCACCUGUACACGGUACGCACAACUUUUACUGAACCACUCUAUCCUGGUUUUGGUUUAACUUACGGAUCAAUGUACAUAAAAGAAACAGAAAUGGAGGAAAGAAUGAACUAAAUAAGGUUGCUGUGAGGCAAAGACAAUGGAUUAAACAACGCAGCACAAGAAUGCUUUUAUUCAGCUUCUACAAACGCUAGGUCACCUUGAACGACUGAUGUGCGUCCGCGCUGUGCGGGAGUGAGCUGUCCGUAUAGGACCAUAAAUGUCAGAGCAUAGACACUCCUCCUGACUGACUGGUUGCUUUGGUUUGGAAAUUGUGUAUUUUUCUAAAUGCUAUUAGGGGCACAGGAAAGAGGCAGCGGGACUUGAUUUUUUCACAGAUUAGCUCUCAUUUUCUACUUUCAGGACAUAAUGAGACUUUUAAACAAUAUGAAAAUAAUAUAUCUUAAAAUCUCCCAUUUCGUCAAUAGAUUUCUGCUGAUUCCAUCUUACUGCCAUCACCACAUUCAUUCACUGUUAUUCAGCCAGAACAAAAGGAGGGAAAAAUCUCUACUUUCUUACUCUUAACCAUAACUGGAGCAGAGGAUUUGAUCAGAUUAGCUGGUUCAGACGGGUAUUGCUCUGGAAGAGUCGAAAUCUACCACAAUGGUGCCUGGGGAACGGUCUGUGACGAUAGAUGGGACAGAAGUGAGGCACAAGUUGUUUGCAGACAGUUGGGUUGUGGUGAGCAGUCAGACAUUCCUCCACCAGGCUACUUUGGUCCAGGCACUGGACCGAUCUGGAUGGACGAUGUGAAAUGUUCAGGAAGCGAAACGUCUCUCUCCACAUGUUCGCACCGGGGAUUUGGAACACACAACUGUGAACACUAUGAGGAUGUUGGUGUCAUUUGUUCAUAUCAUAAAAUCCUACCAUAUGGGUCAUGCAAUGGAAAUGUUCAAAUAUAUCAUGACGGCGCCUGGAGGCUGAUUGAUAAUAAUAACUUCAACAUGGAUGCUGCUAAUGUGGCCUGCAGACAGCUGGGUUGUGGCCCAGCAUCAUCGAUCUAUAGCUACAACUCCAACUCCAACAUCUCUCUUUAUAAAAUGACGUGCUCUGGAAGUGAAAGUUCUCUAGCAGAGUGUCGAAGCGGUUCUGUGGUAACCAGCUCUGGAAGAUAUUCUGGUGUUCGGUGUGCAGGUCACCCAGUACGAUUAAUCGGGCCGUCCCGGUGCUCUGGAAGAGUUGAAAUUUACUACAGUGAUGCGUGGGGAACGGUGUGCGAUAAUGGCUGGGACAUGAAUGAUGCCCAGGUGGUCUGCAGACAGUUGGGUUGUGGUACAGCGGUGGCUGCUCCUCACGCUGCCUACUUUGGAAAAGGAAUGGAUAACAUCUGGGUUGAUAAUGUGAGCUGUACAGGGAGGGAAACGUACCUAACUGAAUGUCCAUUUAGUGGAUUUCAAGCAUACAGCCGCAGCCACAGUCAGGAUGCAGGUGUCAUCUGUUCAGGUAAGGACAUGCUCUCAAUUGUUAUUUUUGCCUUGCUUUAGACAUCCACAGACCACAGUUUUUGGCUGAAACUAUUAUACAUUUUGUCCAAUUCUAGUUUCUUUUUAAAUAUAGUAAGAUAAGUAUUGACUUAGAGUUGUGGUUAGCCAAUUUUUAAAAAGACCAUUCAAAGACUUCUUUUCAGCAAGUUCCCAAGGGUUUUUUAUCCAGUGCUGAGCUGGGAAGAAGUUGACAUUUCUGAUGUUUUAUGAAGGCAUUCUUGGAAAAAGGAAAAUAUUCCUGCAUAAUAAGACUUUUUGAUCAAAUGGAAGGAUCAAACACUCCUUCCUGGCUUGUUUAAGUAUUAUUGUCAGAAUGUAAAUAAAUUAAAAAAAAUAAAAUAGCGGUAAAUGAUUAGACUUCUUUAAUCUACUUCUCAUUUUAUAAGUGUGGCAGUAUGCCCUGUGGCCUUUGAACGCACCACACAAGUGCCUGAAUCUAAUUGUUGUGGCGCUGGCUGCCUGUAUAUAAAGGAUCCUCCCUCACCUGGCUGACAUGACGUUGUUUUCCUUCCGGUUCAGACCUCGGUGUUUGUUGGUGCUGCACGCUAGCUGCAAAUUAAUGCGUGCGCGCAAACGAUGCGCUUAACGACGCUCUGAUCGCCGCCGCCUGUACAAGCUCUACGUUUCCUCCUUCCUUUUAGAGGCACUACAUAAAGAGCUCAGUGGAACGGCCAGCUCAUGGUGUUGGUGGUAGACUUUCCGGGUGGUGGUCCUCCUUUUGGUUUGGUGCACGAUUUUCUUUUGUUUUGCCUUGUUUCGUUUGCUGUGUUUCUUUUCUUGUAGGACACUACCCCAAAUUGCACUUCCGUCCCUGAGUUGCGCUAACACUGACUUUUAAUGUCUGCUAUAAGAUUAGUCGGACCCAACAGGUGCUCUGGAAGAGCUGAAAUCUACAACAAUGGAUCCUGGGGAACAGUCUGCAAUGUGAGCAAAGACUUAAACGACGGCAGAGUAUUAUGCAGACAGCUGGGUUGUGGUACAGCACUGGGUCUCCUUCACUUUGGAGAGGGAGCAGGGGAAAUCUGGCUGGAUGAUGUGACCUGUACAGGAAGUGAAAGACAUUUCUCGGAGUGUUUGCAGACUGGAUCUGUGAGACAGGACUGCGCACACAGUGAGGAUCUUGGUGUCAUCUGUUCGGGCCUAAUAAAACCCACGAUCACAAAUCCUCAAAGUGACAUUAGCUUUGGUCAGAAUCUCCGCAUCACUUGUUUGGUCCCCGAUGGACAAGUAGGGGGAACAUUCAUCUUCAAUCGGACCUCGGAUGGUUUUGGUCAGACCGUAGAGUCGAACAGCAACUCUGGAACAUUUUACAUCCCUCAAAUUGGUUUUGAGCAUGAGGGAAACUAUCAGUGUCAGUUUCACACAAGGGUUGCUAAUGAGAACUUCAGCACAGACCUUAGCGACACUGUUCAGCUAUAUUCAAAAGUAGUCCUUCUGCAACCCACCAUCUCCAUGGAUCCAGCUGGUGUGAUUACUUGGGGUCAGCUUGUUGCCAUCACCUGUUCCAUCUCAACCCCGUUUUUAAAUGGGUUGUUCAUUCUCCAGAAACACCAACCAGAUUCUCAUCAAAACAUUAAGACCCAGUCAUCAAGCACCAACUCUUCCACAUUCAGAUUUCUUGAAGUCAACUCUAAUCAUGGGGGAAAUUACAAGUGUUAUUAUGAAAAAACAGUUACAUCUCGAACUCUUACUUCCCCUUUAAGUGAGAAUGUUGAACUUUCUAUUACUGAUGGUUAAAGCGAUGGACAAAACCAUGGAUUUUUGCAACUUUCCUGUUGUCUCUUUUUUUUUUUUUUUUUUAAAGAUUGUACCUUUUGUUUUAGCAUUAUUCUCUCUUAGAUCCCCAAGUCACUCAAUGUUUCCCAGCUCUGAAAAAAAAGCAUCCAUCCUGGUAGUUUCUGUAUAUAACUCAUAAUUAUUGUGAAAUAUUAAUAAUAAAGAAUUUGGUAAUUACCUGAGUAAUCUUUAGUAAGAAAUCAACUGUAUCAAAUAAAAUUAUAUGGAACGAAUUUGCUUUUUGUAAGUCUGUUUAAGCUGUUCAGACAUAAUUGUUUUUGGCUUCUGUGAAACUUUGUGUUCCACUUUGUUGUGACCUGCUGUUGAAAUAUAAACUAGCUUAUCCUGGUAUUAUAGUUUUGUCAUUUAGUGAUAUAAUAGAACUGGUUGUUUACAUGCAGUACCUUGCGGACCAAUAGGUGGCGCCAGUGGACCACCAGUGAUCCCGGGACCACAGUUUGAGAAA
RNA transcript from Poecilia latipinna (sailfin molly), 7659 nucleotides. It is a transcript of the gene named protein NLRC3-like, with no coding region annotated. Lineage: Eukaryota; Metazoa; Chordata; Actinopteri; Cyprinodontiformes; Poeciliidae. The record is from RefSeq and is a predicted model, not a curated record. The transcript has 21 exons.